Molecule: long non-coding RNA, 878 nt
Organism: Anneissia japonica
Lineage: Eukaryota; Metazoa; Echinodermata; Crinoidea; Comatulida; Comatulidae
Exons: 3
Source: RefSeq, a predicted model, not a curated record
UGCAAGUUCAUCGACGCGCUCGGCGAAAACGUGAACAAAAGUAGGCUACGCAUCGGGAGAGCGUUACAAAGGCUGCUCCGUAGUUUGUGCUUGAUUGGUUUGAAGUUGGCACUUAUUGCAGAAAAGUAACCCAAAAUGAUUGGAAAUGUCAAGCAUGAAAGAUGAUUUUAAUGGGAGAAGAUAUUGGCUCUGACGUACCUUGAAGCUUUCAUUUUGCAGCUUGAAAAGGGGCUAUGCUGUCCCUUUAAAACAAAAGAACAGUUGAAGAUGGGCUGGUAUCAUAUGAACAAAUGUUUUUGCGAACAGAUUGUUCUGGUUUCUAUGGUGACGUAUUCAGUUGUCAUGACAUUGACAUUCUUCGUUUACGUAUAUAUGGAAGAAACUAGUCUGCAAUCCAAAUUUUCGCAUACGCAUAAAAACCAAGUGUCAAGUGUGCAUCAGCUCGUGGAUAGUUUUGAUGCGAACAAUAAUCUGCGCAAGAGGGAUGUCGGCGUAAGAGAUAUGGACAAUAUCUCCGGCAUUUUCAAGAGGUUGCAAGUCGGUCUUAUAUCACCUCAAGAACAUAGACACAUUUUAAAGAAGUACUUGAAAAGCGUUAUUGACAGUAUUGCAGAGUAUCAAAGUUAUGAGGUAGGUACGAAGUGUCCAUCUUCUGUCCUAGGCUAUACAGUAAUGUAUCUAGGAGUCUUGAAAUGGGGGAGCUGGUUGGGGGUGCAAGUUUGUUUUCUGGGGGUGGAGGGGCAUUGUGAUGUGGCCACAUUUCACAUCAAUAUCUUAUUGUAACAAUUGUUUGAUGAGCAUAAACAAAAUUGACCGAUUCAGCAAUGUUUGUUUACAGCUGGUCAUGUGACAUAACUUGGGUAUACCAUGGAAAACAU